UCGGAUGUGUAAGCGUAGCGAUACGUUGAGCUAACCGAUACUAAUGAACCGUGAGGCUUAACCUUACAACGCCGAAGGUGUUU
RNAcentral lists this ribosomal RNA (83 nucleotides) under Klebsiella aerogenes. RNAcentral's name for it is "partial 23S ribosomal RNA". The record is from RNAcentral. Lineage: Bacteria; Pseudomonadati; Pseudomonadota; Gammaproteobacteria; Enterobacterales; Enterobacteriaceae.